Molecule: unclassified non-coding RNA, 222 nt
Filed under: Hevea brasiliensis (rubber tree)
Lineage: Eukaryota; Viridiplantae; Streptophyta; Magnoliopsida; Malpighiales; Euphorbiaceae
Source: RNAcentral
ACAUAUGUUACUUUUGUUAUUCCCGUGUGUGUAAACAAGCGCCCAAGAGCAAGAGAGAGAGAAUCUACAUAGGAAUGAAUGUCUACAGGCAUUUAGGCAUCUAUCUAUGUAUACAAUAAACAAACUUUCAUUUAUUAACAUUAUCCCAUGCAAAUAGAAAUUUUAGUAUCGAACCAUUACAUUUUCAACAAGUUCUUUCAAUCACAAAUACCUGAUCAUAAG